RNAcentral lists this ribosomal RNA (433 nucleotides) under uncultured bacterium. Its description in RNAcentral is "partial 16S ribosomal RNA". It matches the Rfam family "Bacterial small subunit ribosomal RNA", at positions 29 to 507 of the family's 1533-position model. The record is from RNAcentral.
AACGAACGCUGGCGGCAUGCCUAAUACAUGCAAGUCGAACGAGAUCUUCGGAUCUAGUGGCGCCCGGGUGCGUAACGCGGGGUAAUCUGCCCUUGGGUUCGGAAUAACUUCUGGAAACGGAAGCUAAUACUUGAUGAUGACGUAUGUCCAAAGAUUUAUCGACCAAGGAUGAGCCCGCGUAUGAUUAGCUAGUUGGUGGGGUAAAGGCCCACCAAGGCGACGAUCCUUAGCUGGUCUGAGAGGAUGAUCAGCCACUCUGGGACUGAGAAACGGCACAGACUCCUACGGGAGGCAGCAGUAGGGAAUAUUGGACAAUGGGGGGAACGAUGAUGGAGCUAUGCUGGGUGAGUGAUGAAGGCCUUAGGGUAGUAAAGCUCUUUUAUCCGGGAUGGUAAUGACGGUACCGGAAGAAUAAGCUCCGGCUAACUACGUG